Molecule: ribosomal RNA, 253 nt
Filed under: uncultured bacterium
Lineage: Bacteria
Description: partial 16S ribosomal RNA
Rfam family: Bacterial small subunit ribosomal RNA
Source: RNAcentral
UACAGAGGGGGCAAGCGUUAUUCGGAAUUAUUGGGCGUAAAGGGCGCGUAGGCGGCCUGGUAAGUGGGAGGUGAAAUCCCUCGGCUUAACCGAGGAACUGCCUCCCAAACUGCUUGGCUUGAGACCGGGAGAGGUGAGUGGAAUUCCCAGUGUAGCGGUGAAAUGCGUAGAUAUUGGGAGGAACACCAGUGGCGAAGGCGGCUCACUGGACCGGUACUGACGCUGAUGCGCGAAAGCGUGGGGAGCAAACGGG